Eptesicus fuscus (big brown bat) is the source of this 1196-nucleotide long non-coding RNA. RefSeq lists it as uncharacterized. The transcript is spliced from 6 exons. The record is from RefSeq and is a predicted model, not a curated record. NCBI's taxonomy places the organism in Eukaryota, Metazoa, Chordata, Mammalia, Chiroptera, Vespertilionidae.
GGACACACUGUGCAGGGCUAGAAUGCCUCCCCUGAGCAGGGCAGGGCGUGUGCUCCAGCAGAUCCUCUCUCCCUGCCCUCGCCCUCUUCCUUCUUCUCCAUUUCCUCGUUGGAUGAAAGUCCUGAAACAAAUCAAGUCAGGCUUACCUGUUAGAGACCCCAGGACCGGAGGCUGUGGAUGGUGCUUGGGCUCCAGGGAUGGCAUGAGCAUGGAAGGAUCAAGAAAGCUGAAGGGCGAAGAGUUCAAGGAAGGAGUCGAUGCUUGUCCGGUUCACUUUGGCCCAGGGAAUAAGCGGAACCCUCUGGUGACUGCCCACUUCUGUGUGUGUUGCUCUUUCGCUCAGUGCUCUCAGCCUGGAGGAAAUGAGCGACCACUCCUUCUUCAUUCCAAACAGAGUGAAGAAAAGGAAGAAUAUACCGAAAAGGCAGGGAAGAAUACACUGAAAAGGUGGGGAAGAAUUCACCAAAAAGGUGGGGAAGAAUUCACCAUAUAGGUGAGGGAAAUUCACCGCACGCAAAGCCCACGAUCAGCUGCAGAAGUGGCGAUCUAGAAUUUUUCCAAACCUGUGUGAAUUCCUGCUAGAAAUAUUAAACUGCAACAUGGAUCCAAGAGAGAAACUAGCCAUAUUAAUAAGGACCUUGCUCCUGGAGCCACACCAUGCAGCUGCAGACAAUCAACUACCUCAGCCACAGAGAGCAGCGACUCCAAGCAAUGCACUGAAGAUGAGGAGCAGGAGAAGGAUGAGCCGGACAGCAAACAGCCCGGAGGUCUCCUGGGGCAUGGUAAAGAAGACGGUACAGAAAGCUGAGUGAAUCUGUGAGUCUGCAGAUGCGGAAUGAAGAGUCUUAAGAGGACUCAAACCUUUCAGGCAGCAUUCACCAUGCAAGAUUUACUAAAGAAAAGAAACAGGGGAGAUGUUGGAAACUACCCAUUGUCUUCACUAGCAGAGAGGUGUUGACAAGGAACCCAGAAGGCUGGAGACCUUGAGCUCUGAAAGGUCAUAGCUCUGCACCCACUGUUUAGUUAAGACAAUGGUAGCUGAAGCAACUUCCACCUUUUAGUUUUAUGUAAAUCCUUGCUGAUUGCUAUUAUUGGAAUUGCCUGCCUAAGGGCUAUGGGUGUAUCCCAAAACCUGAAUAAAAGGGAUCGCAAGGCCAGAGCAAAGUGGAGUCCUUUCUCUUGAGCUGGGCUCCCGC